CCGGGUUGCGGACAGUGUCUGGUGGGUAGUUUGACUGGGGCGGUCUCCUCCUAAAGAGUAACGGAGGAGCACGAAGGUUAGCUAAUCCUGGUCGGACAUCAGGAGGUUAGUGCAAAGGCAUAAGCUAGCUUGACUGCGAGAGUGACGGCUCGAGCAGGUGCGAAAGCAGGUCUUAGUGAUCCGGUGGUUCUGAAUGGAAGGGCCAUCGCUCAACGGAUAAAAGGUACUCCGGGGAUAACAGGCUGAUACCGCCCAAGAGUUCAUAUCGACGGCGGUGUUUGGCACCUCGAUGUCGGCUCAUCACAUCCUGGGGCUGAAGUAGGUCCCAAGGGUAUGGCUGUUCGCCAUUUAAAGUGGUACGCGAGCUGGGUUUAGAACGUCGUGAGACAGUUCGGUCCCUAUCUGCCGUGGGCGCUGGAGAAUUGAGGGGGGCUGCUCCUAGUACGAGAGGACCGGAGUGGACGCAUCACUGGUGUUCGGGUUGUCAUGCCAAUGGCAUUGCCCGGUAGCUAAAUGCGGAAGAGAUAAGUGCUGAAAGCAUCUAAGCACGAAACUUGCCCCGAGAUGAGUUCUCCCUGAGACU
This 583-nucleotide ribosomal RNA is filed under the name Citrobacter freundii. Its description in RNAcentral is "partial 23S ribosomal RNA". It matches the Rfam family "Bacterial large subunit ribosomal RNA", at positions 2240 to 2822 of the family's 2925-position model. RNAcentral also lists the same sequence under 5 other names. The record is from RNAcentral. Lineage: Bacteria; Pseudomonadati; Pseudomonadota; Gammaproteobacteria; Enterobacterales; Enterobacteriaceae.